RNAcentral lists this non-coding RNA (62 nucleotides) under Mesodinium pulex. Lineage: Eukaryota; Ciliophora; Litostomatea; Cyclotrichida; Mesodiniidae. The record is from RNAcentral.
AAUAUGCCUGGAAAAAAGAAAGAAGUAGAAAAGAAGGAAGAAAAAAUCAUCAAAUUGGGCCC